CCAGCGCAAAGCCGAAACUCGCCAGCAAAGAGGAUCAGGAGGGGGUGACUCCGCUGCAGCGGACCCUGGGAAAGCGAGUUGACGCCACUGCAGCCUUUUGAAGAGGAAAAGCGGAGACCCUCAGCUACAGAUCUUCGAAAUUUCUUACAUGACUUAUGAUCUUCACAACUGUGCAAUCCAUUUUUAAAACGGGAAAAAGACUCAGAAAUCAGAAGUUGUACGUCGAGUCGCUUAUUCACCAUAUUUCAUUGUCUUGAUAGCAUCACUAGAACGACCUACCGAAGAAAGUACCGUUUGAGUCUCCAUCCUCGUGCUUCUGCUGCUGUUGCUGCUGCUGUUGCUGCUG
Balaenoptera musculus (blue whale) is the source of this 346-nucleotide long non-coding RNA. RefSeq lists it as uncharacterized. The transcript has 3 exons. The record is from RefSeq and is a predicted model, not a curated record. Lineage: Eukaryota; Metazoa; Chordata; Mammalia; Artiodactyla; Balaenopteridae.